This 671-nucleotide long non-coding RNA is filed under the name Ictidomys tridecemlineatus (thirteen-lined ground squirrel). Its description in RNAcentral is "lncRNA (ENSSTOG00000031468.1)". The record is from RNAcentral. Lineage: Eukaryota; Metazoa; Chordata; Mammalia; Rodentia; Sciuridae.
AAGAGACAGAAUAUACCAAAAGGGGAGAAAAAAAAAAGAAGGGCAAAUGUAGAGGCCCCAAUUUGGACAAUAUACGAGAAAUACAGACAAGGUUGCAAGAAUCUGGGAGAACGGCUGGGCUGGCUCUGCACAGCUCAGGCCAGCUCUUGAUGCCCUCGGCUCGCUGCUUCUCCCGACUUGAUGCUGCAAAUGCUCUAAUUACAUCAUGCAGCAGGAAGAAGGCCUGGUGCCCGUGGACGACCAUCAGUGUGAGCUCCUGCCAAGAAGUGCUUUUUUUAAACAACAAUUCUCAACUCUUGGUUGUUCUACUCGUCUCAUUAUGAGGAUAUAGCACAGCUGACUGGUUUGCUGAGAAAUUCAAGCAGCAAAGUCUCUGCUUCUCUGUGAAAACCCAGCCAGAUCCUCUUUUCUCCAAAGUGAGAACUUCUGGAAAGGGCUUCUGAGCACAUCAGAACAAGCAUGGGGAGCAGUAAUUAGAAUGGACUUCAGUACACCACAGGUCAGGUCUACAAAGGGAGAUGGGGUGGAGAGAUCCGGGCAACAAAAGUUUGCACACUUUCCCAAAUUACAUUCCUGCAGCAGAUCAAAGUUUUGUUUUGUUUUGUUUCUCAAACCACACCAAAGCACCCAUUUGUAGGCCAAAAUCUUCAAGGGCACUUUUAAAGUAUUUG